This is a long non-coding RNA of Rana temporaria (common frog), 1247 nucleotides long. RefSeq lists it as uncharacterized. The record is from RefSeq and is a predicted model, not a curated record. NCBI's taxonomy places the organism in Eukaryota, Metazoa, Chordata, Amphibia, Anura, Ranidae. The transcript is spliced from 2 exons.
ACUCGUCGAGGAAAACGAUGUGUCUUUUCCGACGAGUUCUUCGGUCGUGUGUACGAGGCCUGAGAGAAUGUUAACAAUGGUAGUUAGGUCACGUUGAUGAGAGAACGUUAACAAUGGCAGUUAGGUCACAUUGAUGAGAGUACGUUAACAAUUGCAGUUAGGUCACAUUGAUGAGAGAACGUUAACGAUUGCAGUUACGUCACACGUUGAUGAUGGAAUGUUAUCAAUGGCAGUUAUGUUACACAUUGAUGUGAGAAAGUUAACAAUGGCAGUUAGGUCACAUUAAUGAGAGAAUGUUAACAAUGGUAGUUAGGUCACGUUGAUGAGAGAACAUUAACAAUUGCAGUUAGGUCACAUUGAUGAGAGAAUGUUAACAAUUGCAGUUACGUCACACGUUGAUGAUGGAGUGUUAUCAAUGGCAGUUAUGUUACAGGUUGAUGUGAGAAAGUUAACAAUGGUAGUUAGGUCACGUUGAUGAGAGAACGUUAACAAUGGCAGUUAGGUCACAUUGAUGAGAGAACGUUAACAAUGGCAGUUAGGUCACGUUGAUGAGAGAAUGUUAACAAUGGCAGUUAGGUCACAUUGAUGAGAGAACGUUAACAAUGGCAGUUAGGUCACGUUGAUGAGAGAAUGUUAACAAUGGCAGUUAGGUCACGUUAUUUAUCCAUUUAAACUUAGAAGGAGUUGAAGAACAUUUCAGAUAACAGGAAAAGUGCGAGAAGAAAAAAAAAUCUAGCGGUGUAACUGCAGAAAAAGGGAAAUGGUUCAUGAGAAAGGAAAGUAAGUGCGUUUAAAAAAACUAAGCUAUUCCGAGAUGGAAAAAUAUGGAGAAGGCACCAAGAGAAAUAAAAGCAGGCAAUGGAGGAGGGGAGAAAGGGGGAAGGGGGAGACGGGAUGAAGAAAGGGUGAACGAGAGGAGAAAGUAAUAGGGACCAGGAGAGGGAGAGAGAGGGCAGGCGUGUAAUAGUAUCAAUGCCUUGGAAAAUUGUGUAGCAGGCAGAGAAGGAAGGACUGACACAGGGCUGGGUCACAUGGAGGUUACUGCACCCAAAGGGGGUUCUGGCAGGGUUCAUACAGAGCUGGCUGCCUGCAUCUUACUGACAGGGAGGGGAGAGAGAGAGAGGAAAGGAGGGGGAGAUGGAUUCCCUCUCACAGGCGACUCAUAUUGAAAGGAAAAUGCAGAGUUUCACGCCACAGGAAUGUACCACUACAUCCUGACCUAAGGGGAGAAAGGGAGCCAGAAAGGC